Molecule: long non-coding RNA, 2482 nt
Organism: Macrobrachium nipponense
Lineage: Eukaryota; Metazoa; Arthropoda; Malacostraca; Decapoda; Palaemonidae
Exons: 3
Source: RefSeq, a predicted model, not a curated record
CAGUCGGCUCUUUCUUUAGAUCAGCUUUCCUUGCGACUGUCGCCGAAGGUGAACUGGAUUCCUGGAAUUUUUUUUUUUUUUAUUUAUGACGUCGUUCCAUAUCCUGUGGUGAAUUGAGCAAGGAAGGAAGGAAGGAAGUCUCCAUUUGAUACUGCAGACAUCUCAUUUGAGUGUCGACCGUGGAAUGCUGUGAGUCUCUCUUUCUGAAUGGAGGAGGACAAAUAGGGUGGUAAUCAUUAUGUUUUUUAUUCUACAUUGAUAAAACUUCUAGCGUUUCUUUUUUCCUAACCCUUCAUAAAACCUUUUGCGAAGAUAACCUAAUCUUGAACAAUCGGAUAAAUAAAACUGGUGUAUUAAAGUAUUGUCAGUUUUGUAGGGUAUUGGGAAACUAAUUUUUUCCUUGAUAAGAGUAAACAUAUAUUUUUCCAGUAGAAAAUGUAAUAAUAAUUGUAAAUUACCGGUCGACGUAUUUUACCCAAAUGAGAAAACGCAGACUCUGACCGAGGAAAGAACUUGCCGGAACAGCAAAAAUUCCUUGGACAAAUGACACACACAAGCUGAGAUUUUGUUUUCCACUGCUUGAUGGAAGCGGCCAGGAACUAAUUACAUUAAUUAGUGCUAUAAAAAGGACAGGAUGGGAUUUUUUUUAACUAGACUAUAGAUAUCCUGCCUGGAUUUUCGGUAACUGACUUGGGAAAAGAGAACAAUUUAAACCGAGAAAUCAUUGUUGGAACACUGGUGUGCGGGAUGCUGGGAGUCCAUUCAGUAAAUGGAUUGAUUUGAGAGACACUCUUGUGAGGAAUUCACCGAACACUUCUUUCACACAUUUGUUAUAUUACAUUUGGUGACAGUAUAUAAAAGCAUACAUCUCUGGUGAAUUUUUUUUGAAGAACAUAAUGAACGUCAGAAGCAAGUUUAUUUAAAGAUUUUCCUUGAUAUUAAAUAAUGCAAGGAUGACCUAAAAAUAAUUUACUAGGUAACAGUCUAGAGACUAAACAGAACAAGAAAGAAAAGGAAAACAAAGUUGGAAUGUUAAGAAGAAAGAAGUCCUAUGACAAAUCAGUAAAGGAUACUUUUUUGAAAAUAAGUAGAAAUUAGUUCCAUUUUAUUUCAUAUUUUGUUUUAGCUAAAAUCCAUUCAUAAAUUGGUUUGUAUUGAUGUAUUCAUAUAAUAUUUUUCAAAUUACAGGAAACGCGCGAGAGACCGACCACCUUCCUCGCCCCGGACGGUACGGUGAGUUACUGUGCUAAACAUUAUAUUCUCGAAAUUUGCAGGUAGCAACUUUAGAAGAAAACAUCGCCCUCUAAUUUCUGAAGGUUUCCAGUUUUAAAAGCUUUCGUAUUUUAGUAUUGUAAAAUUCUCAAAAUGGUCGUUCUGUUUCUCGUGAUAAUAGUGUCGUCUCCAUAUUGUAAUAGGCUUGGCCGACAGCCAUUUUUCGUAACAAAAAUUAAACCAUUUCUUUUUAAAUUUUUUUGAUAGAUGUUUGGCGAUUAACAUCACUAGGAUAUGGGAGAGUGACAUAAAGGAGUAUAAUAAUAAUAAUAAUAAUAAUAAUAAUAAUAAUAAUAAUAAUAAUAAUAAUAAUAAUAAUAAUAAUAAUAAUAAUUAAUCUUAUAUAUUAUCUUUUCUAUUUUUCUUAUUACUCGCUUUUCUGGCUCAGCGAUACUUCGCAAUAAUUGGCUAAUAUUCAUAUUGGGAAUAGAACAGAAUUUAUUAGUUUCAAGUGAUCUCUUAUAUUCAGUUCAGCGGCUGCAUUUUUUUUUACGUUAACGUAACGUUCAGUGGUUUUGCUCAGUGAUUCCUCCUCUUGUUGUGAAUUGCCUAACUAUCGUGUUAACGAUUGUUUUUAUUUUGUUUUCGAGUUGGAAUGGAACUGUAGUGCAGUGAGUGGAGGCUGGCGAAGACAGUUCGGGCCUGUAUAAGCUUCUGGACGUACGCUCUUUAGUUGGCAGCCUUCUGGAGAUUUAUAUUACGCCUUUUUGGAGGAAUACUCCGACGGACCUCCCUUGGAAGUGGUUUUCCGUAGAUGUGCUGAGCCAUCUACGGCGUAAGUGCAUUGUGGAGUUUGAUCACGGCUGUGAUAUCGCAGGUUAUCGUCACUUGCGACGCCCCUGUACUCCUGUUUCCCGCCUGAGGAUUUGGCGGAAGACGUGGUCGUCGCUGUCCCGCCACGUAGGAGGCGUUACGGCAACCACUGUCCUGUGUUGUCCAUCUCCAGCUGCUGGUCCAGGAGAGCUUAGGGCUCGUGAGGAGGCUCGUAGGGAGGCAAUUGCCAGAUGCCUACAGUGGAUUAAAUGUCUUCUUGAUAAAAGUACAAAAUAUGUAAAAAAAACUGUUGUAGAGUAUGCAGUCUUCACUUUUCCUGCAAGAACUUUGUGACUCUGGAUUCCUCAAGACUCAAUAAAAAUGCAUGUCCAGAUCAACAGCUUGCAGGUAAUCCAAAUGAUACAUCUGCAGCACCAGCAAUAACAUACAACUCUGA